This 378-nucleotide ribosomal RNA is filed under the name uncultured bacterium. RNAcentral describes it as "bacterial SSU rRNA". It matches the Rfam family "Bacterial small subunit ribosomal RNA", at positions 523 to 898 of the family's 1533-position model. The record is from RNAcentral.
AGACGGAGGAGGCAAGCAUUGUCCGGAAUUAUUGGGCGUAAAGAACACGUAGGCGGUUUAUCAAGUCAUAUGUGAAAACCUUGGGCUUAACUUAAGGAUUGCAUAUGAUACUGGUAAACUAGAGUAUAGUAGAGGAAAGCGGGAUUCCUGGUGUAGCGGUGAAAUGCGCAGAUAUCAGGAAGAACACCAGUGGCGAAAGCGGCUUUCUGGACUGUUACUGACGCUGAGGUGUGAAAGCUAGGGGAGCGAACAGGAUUAGAUACCCUGGUAGUCCUAGCUGUAAACGAUGGACACUAGGUGUGGGGAGUUAUCGACGCUCUCUGUGCCGAAGCUAACGCAUUAAGUGUCCCGCCUGGGGAGUACGGUCGCAAGACUAAA